This 1693-nucleotide unclassified non-coding RNA is filed under the name Rhipicephalus microplus (southern cattle tick). RNAcentral's name for it is "uncharacterized LOC119160729, transcript variant X1". The record is from RNAcentral. Lineage: Eukaryota; Metazoa; Arthropoda; Arachnida; Ixodida; Ixodidae.
AGCAGCACUACGCAUUCGUGGGAUUUGGAGCCGGCACGCUUGCCGACAUGCAGCUGACAUCACUCUUGUUUGUGCAGAAUUCUCCAGAAUGAAUGUGCGGUUGAAGGAAUGGAAAAAGGCAAUAUCUUCUGCAGCCCUUGUGGGAGCACAACUCAGUGCCUGUCUCUAAGGACGACAACAAUGACUGCAUCUACGCUGCUACCCUCUGCACCGCUACCGCAGCAAGCCCAGUACGUGACGAGAAAGGAAGAGCGUCUCCAUGCGGAGCGAAGCAGAUCGGAAUUUGAGAGAGAACCAACACUCCAUGGCAGCUUAUUCUUUUUUUUUUUCUUGCUCUCUUGGGUCUACAUGGCAGGGACGGGAAAGGGUUCCCGGAAGCAUGACACCGGCCUGUGAGAGAGAGCCAACACUCCGCGACAGCUUUGUUUUUUUUUCUUUUUUCCUCUCUCUUUUUGCGUGGGGUGUUAAGAGGAAAAGGGUCUUUACAUGGCAGCAUGGAGGAAGGAAUUCCUUCCUCCAUGCAGGGUAGGGACGAAAAAGAGAGAAGCCUGGCACAGGCGCGUCAUAGGUUGGCAUUUGAGAGAGAGCAAACAUUCCACGGCAGCAUUGUCUUUCCUUUCUUAUUCUUUCGUGUGCAGCAUUGAGGUGUCGCAGGUGCUGCCACGGGAUUGGGCGUGGUGCUGAGAGCAUUUUCGGAGCGUGGUAUGUUGGAAUUUACCGUCGCAAGUGCUUGCGUGUUUGAAUUACAGGGCAUUUUUGCCCAUUGGAAUACACAUAGCUUUGACGGGAUCUCAGUGUGAGAUCGAAUUAACUGGAAGUUCGAAUUAAGCGUGUUUGAAUUAAUGAGAUUCGACUGUAUAUAAAAAAUUCAAACUUUACGCUGCUGAAGCCACAGCAAGCAGAUUAGCAUUAAAAAGCUAGUCAAGAUCGAAGUGCUGCAUCCUAAUUUAGAUUAAGGUGUCAUCGUUGAAGUACAUUUGAAAGGAAAGAAGUCAUUUUACAGAAUUUACUACGCCAGAAGAAGCUCACGCUUUGUUUGAACAUGUCGCCAAGCUUAAGCUGUGCCCUGGUUUAGCAAUAAAACUUGUGGCCAAAAAAUCUGCAUCAUUCAAUGGGACAUUUUUUUUAUGAAAAGUGCUCUUGUAUGUCAACAGAUUCAAUUUACUUAUGGCGUUAAAUAAAAGAGACAAUAGAGUGCCUUGGCACACAGUUGACUAAGUGGGAUCUUUAAUUGCACACUUGAGAGAUCUGAAUAUUAGGCUGGUGUGAAUGUUCGAAUGCCUUAAAUAUUCAAACUGAGUUCGAUUCGAAUUUUAAUUGCUGAGAAUUUUGAAGCAUAAUCAAAAUGAAUGACAUUAAUCCGCAUGUAGCCCCCUAGAAAGAUGGUUUCACUGCAGCAAGAGAAGUGCUCAGCCGUGAAAGCACCUAUCCAUGAAAAAUCCGCACUCUGUAAAGCCCCACUUCAAGGUUAAAUGAACAUAUAACCCUCACAGCGAUUCAUUAUCUUUUAAGCUUAUAAGCUUGUUAUACAGUUUUAUAUGCUGUAAAUAUAGUACAUUUUAAAACAUAACAUAUGUUGCAGGUUAUCAUUCGCAUUCUACCGAAGUCAAAUUCUGCUACUGUUCAAGGUUGCUUUCACUUCCUUUCAACUAAUUAGAUCGGAAUUCGCUCAGGCCUAGUUACAAUAAAAAAA